ACUCAAAGGAAUUGACGGGGACCCGCACAAACGGUGGAGCAUGUGGUUUAAUACGACGAUACGCGUGGAACCUCACCCAGGCUUGACAUGUACCUGAAACCCUUAUGAAAGUUUGGGCCUCCCUUAAAAGACAGGUACACAGGUGUUGCAUGGCUGUCGUCAGCUCGUGUCGUGAGAUGUUGGGUUAAGUCCCGCAACGAGCGCAACCCCCAUUCUUAGUUGCUACAGGUCAUGCUGAGAACUCUAAGAAGACCGCCAGUGAUGAACUGGAGGAAGGUGGGGAUGACGUCAAGUCAGUACGGCCCUUACGCCUGGGGCUACACACGUGCUACAAUGGCAGGUACAAUGGGUUGCGAAACCGCAAGGUGGAGCUAAUCCCCUAAAGCCUGCCCCAGUUCAGAUUGAAGGCUGCAACUCGCCUUCAUGAAGCCGGAAUCGUUAGUAACCCCGUAUCAGCCACGACGGGGUGAAUACGUUCCCGGGUCUUGUACACACCGCCCGU
Molecule: ribosomal RNA, 502 nt
Filed under: uncultured bacterium
Lineage: Bacteria
Description: partial 16S ribosomal RNA
Rfam family: Bacterial small subunit ribosomal RNA
Source: RNAcentral